RNAcentral lists this ribosomal RNA (501 nucleotides) under uncultured marine eukaryote. RNAcentral describes it as "SSU rRNA". It matches the Rfam family "Eukaryotic small subunit ribosomal RNA", at positions 616 to 1122 of the family's 1831-position model. The record is from RNAcentral.
CGGUUAAAAAGCUCGUAGUUGGAUUUCUGUUGAGGUCGGGCGGUGUGCACCUCGUGCAUUAUUUGCUUCGGUCUCGGCAUCCUCUUGGGGAACGUCUCAGGACUUUAUUGGACUGGGCGAGAUUCAAGACUUUUACUUUGAGGAAAUUAGAGUGUUCACGGCAGGCAAGUGCUUUGAAUACAUUAGCAUGGAAUAAUAAUAUAGGACCUUCGUUCUAUUUUGUUGGUUUCUAGAACUUAGGUAAUGAUUAAUAGGGACAAUUGGGGGCAUUCGUAUUAACGCGUCAGAGGUGGAAUUCUUGGAUUGCGUUACGACGAACUACUGCGAAAGCAUUUGCCAAAGAUGUUUUCAUUGAUCAAGAACGAAAGUAUGGGGAUCGAAGACGCUUAGAUACCGUCGUAGUCUAUACCAUAAACUAUGCCAACUAGAGAUCGGUGGGGUUAUCCUAUGUGGCUCCAUCGGCAUCUUAUGAGAAAUCAAAGUUUUUGGGUUCCCGGGGGA